This is a long non-coding RNA of Physeter macrocephalus (sperm whale), 1075 nucleotides long. RefSeq lists it as uncharacterized. NCBI's taxonomy places the organism in Eukaryota, Metazoa, Chordata, Mammalia, Artiodactyla, Physeteridae. The record is from RefSeq and is a predicted model, not a curated record. The transcript is spliced from 3 exons.
AUUGAAAAUAAGUUGCUUGAACAGAAACCAUAUGUAGUCAAAGGACAUGCUUGAGUCCCCUAAGGACAUACAGGCUGUAAGAUUUCUAGUGAGCAUUUCUCCAAUCUCUGAAGCAGGUUAUGAAGCCCACCUAUAUUAUUUCUAAAACAAGGCCUAUACAGGUAUCCCCCGCUUUUCCAAAGUUUGCUUUAUGUCACUUUGCUUUUACCAAAGCAAAAAGCAAAAACAGCGUUCAGCAUUUGUUUUGCAGUGAGCCUGUUAUAGGGGCAGGGUGCACCAUGAGCAGUAACAGUGACCCCACCAAGCUCCUUCCUCAGGAAUUACACUCAGCAGCUCAGCAUCAAGCAAGCUGGAGCUGUGAACUGCAUCUGCGAGCAUCUGUGCUAUACCGCAAUUAUUUGUGCACCUGAAAGCAAGAGGUGUUCUAAGUUACUUUUGCUCUGCAUUAUUGAUUUUACCAGUGGAAAUUAUUGAUUGUUCUACAAUUUGUGGGGCUCUGAGCCAAGUGCAAAUGAACAUUACACAGUUCCUCUAACUAAGCAGGCUCCGUGGCCAUCGCUCACGGGCCCAGCUGCUCCGCGGCAUGUGGGAUCUUCCCGGACCGGGGCACGAACCCGUGUCCCCUGCAUCGGCAGGCGGAUUCUCAACCACUGCGCCACCAGGUAAGCCCCCAAAUUUUUUUUUAUUUUUUAAAAAGCAGAAAAGGGGCAUGCCAACAUUCCCCAUACAAUAAAUAACUUUUAGAAAAUUAUCUGAGAAUAUCAAGAACCAGAGAAAUGUCCAAUUAAAGGAACCGAAACAUCUAGUUUUUAAAUAAAAGUGGGGAGAUUUGAAGAUAUAUAUACUUGGCAAGGGUGAACUUCUAAAUGAGCAAUUAAAAGAAAUGUAGUCAUCAUCAGAUGCCAAUAUGGGGUCCUAAAACACUGUCAUGGUUAGACUUCCCUAGUGGCACAGUGGUUAAGAAUCUGCCUGCCAAUGCAGGGGACAGGGGUUCGAUUCCUGGUCCAGGAAGAUCCCACAUGAUGUGGAGCAACUAAGCCCCUGCACCACAACUACCAAGUCCACAUGCCGCAAC